RNAcentral lists this long non-coding RNA (2021 nucleotides) under Macaca fascicularis (crab-eating macaque). RNAcentral's name for it is "lncRNA (ENSMFAG00000058306.1)". Lineage: Eukaryota; Metazoa; Chordata; Mammalia; Primates; Cercopithecidae. The record is from RNAcentral.
UUUUUUUUUUUUUUUUUCGGGGAACACUCAAAACCACACACCAUUCACUGAAAGGCAAUUCACAUUAAAAGGUUCUGUUUUGGCUUCUUGACAUAUCCAUCUGCUCUCAGGAAACGGAUGAGAAACUUCCUCAGGGAACUUUGGGAAGGGGCUGGCAUGUUUCUGGCCCACAGACCUGAGACUCUCUUGUUUGGAGGAGGAGACGGAUCAGUUGAAACCUGCAGGCUCUUGGCUUCCAGGAUGCUUAAAUCGAAAGCCUUAAGAAAGCUGUGGGGACUUGGACAUCUGGAAUUAUCCUGGCCACCAGAGGGCAUUAGGAACCUGUUGGUCACACCCCCAGGUAAUCUGCCAUUUCUGUCUGGGUUAUAGCUUGGCAGUUUUACACAGGGUUAGUUUCAUAACCUUUUCAGAGCAUGAGGGGCCGAAUCAGACUCCCAGAAUGCCAAAGAAAAUCAAAUUGACAGGCUUAGGCUUAUCUCUCUCGUCUCCCAAAAUUAAAUGUGCAGGUGCGUUCAUUGAUUUAACAGGUAUCCUUUGAGUGCUGCUUACGUACUGCCUCUAAACUAAGUUCUGCGAAUACAUUCAAAAACGCAAAGCCUCGGCUCCACAGGCGCUCACAGUCUAGGCUUUUCCAUAGACAAUAGGCAAAUGGCUCAUUGCCCACUAAGGGAACUCCACAGGGUCCUGAAUCUAAAGCAAUGAGGUUUUUUCUUACGGUGAGGUGAAGGCUCUGGGGGUUAGGAUCAUCAUCUUGACACUUUCAAAUGAGAGAAUGUAGAUGUCUGUGAAUGGGAUUAGGAAAGUGGCCUUUUGAAGCCUUUAGUAUUGUAGCUAAACUUUAGAACACCGGUGUGGGACUGACUGUAUAGACUAAUGGUAAAUCCUAAGCCAGGAGUCACUGUCCCACCACGUAAACUUGACGGAAUAAUCAGCUUUUGUGGACUUAACGUUUUCUCAGCCACUCUCAGAAAAGGUCAGGACUCUAUGACUGUUACACAAUAGAAAAUGAAAUGAAAUGGAAAGGAAUUCUAAUAUGGCAUUAUACUGGUGGAGAAACCCAAUUGGGAUUUUUCUGCCCCCUUUGGUAUGUUUUUACAGCUACUUGUUUGUUUGCAUGGCUGAUAACUCCCCCUCACCCCGCACUGUUCUUACUUUGUGUAGACACAGGAUCUAGGUUAUGUUAAAACUAGUAUUGGAAUUCAGAAGUGACUAAUUGCCCAACCAAAGGAUCAGAAUUCUAUUUUAUUUUUCACAGUAACUUGGAUGAGUUGAUGUGUAAAUGGAUGGCAUGUUACAGCUCACUGUUUUCUAAGAAAACAGCAGAAUUGAGUGAAGAUAAAUUCUGAGACUCCCUCCCUUUCCUCCGCCAUAGCCCUUGAGCCAGAGGGUGUUGUCCAUAGGACAGACCAAAGGAGUUUGGCAAGACUACCAAUGCGCUAAGGCACUCAUGGGUAGUGAGCAUUUACACAUAAGUGGAAUUCACUAGGAUGUACCGGGACUCUGGUAGAGAUAAUUUGAAUUAUCUCUAAAUUGUGCUAAGCAUGAAUUCAUGCAGGAUAACUCUGCCUCCUAACACUGAUGCUGACCCAGCCUGUCAAUAUUUACAUUUUUGUGUUUUUCUAAGCUAGACCUCUGAAGACAAAAGCCCACUGCAGCUGAAAGCAGAAUGUUGCUUCUAUCCUCCAGAUAAAGUACAAUAUCUAUUGUUUCAGAAGACUAGAUGCAAUAGGACAAGAAUUGAGCUGGUGUAUUACACUUGCCCUCUUUUUUAUGUUAUUAUUAUUUACCCAGAGACAACGCUGAUUAAUCUUUACCAAGGACAAUGGGAAAAGAAAUAUGAUUACAUAGUUUGGUUUUUUUAGGUAGUAAAAAGACUUUGACCUGGAAUUAAGAAGACUUAGGUUCUCAAUGCAGUUCUUUGUUUUAUCACAUAACUGCUGUGCCAGUGCUUUUGAUAAUUAUGGUAAUUUGGAAGGAGCACACCUGGCUGGAAAUCCUUCCUUUGCCUCUUAUUAUGGGAC